RNAcentral lists this ribosomal RNA (1382 nucleotides) under uncultured bacterium. RNAcentral describes it as "bacterial SSU rRNA". It matches the Rfam family "Bacterial small subunit ribosomal RNA", at positions 18 to 1395 of the family's 1533-position model. The record is from RNAcentral.
CCUGGCUCAGGAUGAACGCUAGCUACAGGCUUAACACAUGCAAGUCGAGGGGCAGCAUGGUCUUAGCUUGCUAAGGCCGAUGGCGACCGGCGCACGGGUGAGUAACACGUAUCCAACCUGCCGUCUACUCUUGGACAGCCUUCUGAAAGGAAGAUUAAUACAAGAUGGCAUCAUGAGUCCGCAUGUUCACAUGAUUAAAGGUAUUCCGGUAGACGAUGGGGAUGCGUUCCAUUAGAUAGUAGGCGGGGUAACGGCCCACCUAGUCUUCGAUGGAUAGGGGUUCUGAGAGGAAGGUCCCCCACAUUGGAACUGAGACACGGUCCAAACUCCUACGGGAGGCAGCAGUGAGGAAUAUUGGUCAAUGGGCGAGAGCCUGAACCAGCCAAGUAGCGUGAAGGAUGACUGCCCUAUGGGUUGUAAACUUCUUUUAUAAAGGAAUAAAGUCGGGUAUGGAUACCCGUUUGCAUGUACUUUAUGAAUAAGGAUCGGCUAACUCCGUGCCAGCAGCCGCGGUAAUACGGAGGAUCCGAGCGUUAUCCGGAUUUAUUGGGUUUAAAGGGAGCGUAGAUGGAUGUUUAAGUCAGUUGUGAAAGUUUGCGGCUCAACCGUAAAAUUGCAGUUGAUACUGGAUAUCUUGAGUGCAGUUGAGGCAGGCGGAAUUCGUGGUGUAGCGGUGAAAUGCUUAGAUAUCACGAAGAACUCCGAUUGCGAAGGCAGCCUGCUAAGCUGCAACUGACAUUGAGGCUCGAAAGUGUGGGUAUCAAACAGGAUUAGAUACCCUGGUAGUCCACACGGUAAACGAUGAAUACUCGCUGUUUGCGAUAUACAGCAAGCGGCCAAGCGAAAGCGUUAAGUAUUCCACCUGGGGAGUACGCCGGCAACGGUGAAACUCAAAGGAAUUGACGGGGGCCCGCACAAGCGGAGGAACAUGUGGUUUAAUUCGAUGAUACGCGAGGAACCUUACCCGGGCUUAAAUUGCAGAUGAAUUACGGUGAAAGCCGUAAGCCGCAAGGCAUCUGUGAAGGUGCUGCAUGGUUGUCGUCAGCUCGUGCCGUGAGGUGUCGGCUUAAGUGCCAUAACGAGCGCAACCCUUGUUGUCAGUUACUAACAGGUUCCGCUGAGGACUCUGACAAGACUGCCAUCGUAAGAUGUGAGGAAGGUGGGGAUGACGUCAAAUCAGCACGGCCCUUACGUCCGGGGCUACACACGUGUUACAAUGGGGGGUACAGAGGGCCGCUACCACGCGAGUGGAUGCCAAUCCCCAAAACCUCUCUCAGUUCGGACUGGAGUCUGCAACCCGACUCCACGAAGCUGGAUUCGCUAGUAAUCGCGCAUCAGCCACGGCGCGGUGAAUACGUUCCCGGGCCUUGCACACACCGCCC